GACGAACGCUGGCGGCGUGCUUAACACAUGCAAGUCGAACGGAAAGGCCCUGCUUUUGUGGGGUGCUCGAGUGGCGAACGGGUGAGUAACACGUGAGUAACCUGCCCUUGACUUUGGGAUAACUUCAGGAAACUGGGGCUAAUACCGGAUAGGAGCUCCUGCUGCAUGGUGGGGGUUGGAAAGUUUCGGCGGUUGGGGAUGGACUCGCGGCUUAUCAGCUUGUUGGUGGGGUAGUGGCUUACCAAGGCUUUGACGGGUAGCCGGCCUGAGAGGGUGACCGACCACAUUGGGACUGAGAUACGGCCCAGACUCCUACGGGAGGCAGCAGUGGGGAAUAUUGCACAAUGGGCAGAAGCCUGAUGCAGCAACGCCGCGUGCGGGAUGACGGCCUUCGGGUUGUAAACCGCUUUCGCCUGUGACGAAGCGUGAGUGACGGUAAUGGGUAAAGAAGCACCGGCUAACUACGUG
This 468-nucleotide ribosomal RNA is filed under the name uncultured bacterium. Its description in RNAcentral is "partial 16S ribosomal RNA". It matches the Rfam family "Bacterial small subunit ribosomal RNA", at positions 28 to 507 of the family's 1533-position model. The record is from RNAcentral.